CAGUUCCCAAACAAAGCGGUCUAUCAUUGAGUUUUUAUUGUGCUAAUUUUGCCUCGGGAUAAGCCAUAAGGGCUUUAUUAAGUACCGCAACUUGGGUUGAAUAUGACUAAUAUACUCUUGCUAUAACAAUGAUAUCAUCCCACGCUAUACUCCUCGUGAUUAAAGGCUUAAAGAUUUUGUUCCUUCAUAGCUGACAAUGAUACUGUUAAAAAUCCUUUCGAUUAUCCAUAUUCCAAAACUUAAUUAUGUAGCGAUCAUUUUGAAUGAUCAUUUUGAAUCCUCUUGAAUUGUUGCGCUUUUGUGGACAAUUACACAUUGGGUGCGUACAUGUGAGGCUCGGAGAACCGGGUCACUAUUCUUUAUUUACGAUGGCGACCAGUGGGGGUCAAGCUGGUGGUCUAGUGUCUUCUUAUAUAUUGAAGAUGCAUUGAUUGCAGUAUUGGAGGCGAGAUUUAUCCAGAAAUUCCAUCUGAAAAUAUGGAUUGUAGGAAAUUCGGUUCUAUUGCAUCAGAAUGCCGCGGAUUAACUUCCUAUGUGGAUUGACUUGUUCGUUGACUUUCUAUAUAGAUUUGACUACGACUACCAUCAACCAAUCAGAUGUGUUUAAUCUACCCGAUUGACCAAUCAAAUGGCAUACUGUGAAUGUCAAAUCUGAGCCUCUC
Non-coding RNA from Paramuricea clavata, 662 nucleotides. The record is from the annotation of a GenBank genome assembly. Lineage: Eukaryota; Metazoa; Cnidaria; Anthozoa; Malacalcyonacea; Plexauridae.